This 631-nucleotide ribosomal RNA is filed under the name Desmophyes haematogaster. RNAcentral describes it as "partial 16S ribosomal RNA". It matches the Rfam family "Bacterial large subunit ribosomal RNA", at positions 1816 to 2597 of the family's 2925-position model. The record is from RNAcentral. Lineage: Eukaryota; Metazoa; Cnidaria; Hydrozoa; Siphonophorae; Prayidae.
GCCCCUUAUUUUAAUAAGAUUUGCACAUAAAGUGGUGAUACCUGCCCAGUGGAGGCUAAUUAUAGUAGUUUUAAAUAUAACUAUAAAUGAGUUUAAACGGCAGCUUUAAUCGGUUUUAAUGUAGCAUAAUAAUCUGCCUCUUAAUUGGGGGAUUGAUGAAUGGUAACACGAAUGGCCCACUGUCUUAAUUAGUAGUAAUAUGAAUUUGGAGUAAUAGUGAAGAUACUAUUUAUAAUUGUAAGACGAAAAGACCCUAUGGAGCUUCACUACAACUUUUAUAUUAAAAAAAAUUAAAUUUAAUUAUUUAGUCUUGAAAAAAUGAAAGGUAGGUAGUUUAGUUGGGGUGACUGCCUUAUAUUAUAACCUAAGUGCAAACAAUAUAAUAAAUUUAUUUACUGUAUAAACUACCAUUUUAACAGUUACAAAUAGUAGGUAUAAUGACCCGUUUAUAAAUUAUAUUUUAUAAAAAGAUUUUUAAACGAUAAAUGGAUAAAAGCUACCCUAGGGAUAACAGGGUAAUUUCGGCCCGGUGAAGUCAAACUAAGCCGACGUUUACCACCUCGAUGUUGUAUUAAGAUAUCCUUGGGGCCAUAAGCUUCACAAGGUUGGACUGUUCGUCCACGAAGAUCUU